GGUGAGGGCUCCAGCAUGGCAGGCUGCAGGUCCCGAGCCCUGCCCCCUUGCCCCGCGGGGAGGUGGCUGAGGCCCAGCGAAAAUUCGAGCGCGGCGCCGGCGGGCCAUCACUGUUGGAGGACCCAGUGCACCCUCCGCAGCUGUUGGCCCGGGUGCUAAGCCUCUCACUGCCCAGGGCCGGCGGCGCCAGCCGACCGCUCAGAAUGCGGGGCGCGCCGAGCCCGCGCCCACCCGGAAGUCGCGCUGGACCUGCGAGCACCGCAGGCAGCCCAGGUUCCGGCCCGCGCCUCUCCCUCCACACCUCCCCGCCAGCAGAGGGAGCCCGCUCAGGCCUCAGCCAGCACAGGGAGGGGCUCCCACGGUGCAGCUGCGGGCUGAAGGGCUCCUCAAGCGCGGCCAGAGUGGGCUGAGGCCGAGGAGGCGCGGAGAGCCAGCGAGGGAUGCCAGCAAGCUGUCACCUCUCAGAAAUACAGGAAGAACAUCAAUAAUGUUCGAAGUUAUAAAUUGCGGAGGUCAGAAGUCAGAAAACAAGGUGUCUGCAGGACCAACCUCUCCUCUGGAUGCUCUAGUGCGUUUUAUCACAAGAACAUGACCUUUAAGCACAAGAACACCUUGUAUUCCACCACUAAAAACAGAAAUGACAUCUACCUUCACUGCUUCCCUAUUUCUCUCCAUCUUUACUGACUUGGUAUUUUGUUGUUGCUGUCAUUUCUGGUUGUUGGUCAAUUUUCAUUUCUAUUCUUAUUUUGCUGAUAAUUCUUAUAAAUCAGUGCUGAAUUUUGUCAAAUUAUUUUUCUGCAUCUCUACAGAUGAUCAUUUUAUGUUUUUGUCUCUGUGAUAAUUUGGUGAAUGUCAUUGAUCAAUUUUUAAAUAAUGAAUAUCUUUGCAUUUAAGAUAAUAUUUUUCACUAUUAAUGUUAUCUCUGAAAUGAAAGCUAAACCUAGUCAAUAGAUAUUAGAGGUGCAUGAUUUUUAAAAUUGUAUAAAAUUAGAUAAAAAAUACAAAGAAAUAUAUAUAAUUUUAAAACCAUGUAAAAAUGUAAAUGCCAAAUGAUAGAGCAUUAAAUGAAGCUUGUAAUAUUAAAUACAAUCUUUAGAAACUCUUUUGCAGUGCAGGAAAAAAAUAGAACUGAAAACAAACCAGAAGAAAUCACAGAUAUAAAAUUAAAGAGGAUAGAAUUAAGCACCUGAGUUCCCACAUCUAAAGUGAAAAUCUAAGAAUUUAAAUAUCAUUCAAAUACAGACUAAAAUACAAUAUAAAAUAAAAUUUCCUGAGCUAAUUUUUAAAAUACUGCUUAAUUUGUAGCUAAAAAUGCAGACUAAUUUUCUGACUAUAUUACUAUAAAAACCUUCUACAAAUAUUUUUUAACUAAAAUUAUAAGAAAAACAUCCACCAUAAACACGUAAGAUUAAUAUUUUCAUUUCUGAAGUAUAAAAUGUCUGGAUAGACUUGAGCUUGUUGCUUUAGUUUUAUAUGUGAAGACUGGAAAAAUUCUGUUUUGUUUUGGAAAAUAUUUUGAGCUAGAAAUGUUGUAUUCCACAUUUGUUAGGAAUGGAAGUCUUUAAAAUAUGAAAUAUUUCCAACUGAAGAAAAAUAGUGAAAAUGAACUUUAUCUGAAUAAGAUUAAUGAAAAUUAUAUGUUGAAAAAGUAAAAUAGUUAUGUGUACUAACAGUGACUACUAACCCAACAAUAUAAAAUUAAGUAAAAAUAUUAUUACCAUGUUAAAUACAAAUUAAAAUUAAUUAUAAGAAAGUUAAGAUCUAUGAUUAAAGUAUUAAAAUAAAAUGAGACUUCACAAAUUUAAAAGCAAAUUGGUGAAUGACAUAUUUUUUGAAAUAAUAAAUUCUUUGGCAUAUUUUAUAUUUUUUAUUAUAAAUGAAAAUUAUUUAUUUGAAAUAUUUAAAGGAACAAAAUAUUUGCAGCUCUAUUUUAUUGAGAAAGUAAUUACAAAACAAAAACAAGGAGUUUUUGUAAUUACAAAAGAAUAUAUUAAUAAUAUUAUUUAGAAGCACAAAACCAGAAAAGCUUUAUAUUAUUUCUAACAAUAAGUGUAAACCAUCUAAUUUUCUGAAAAGGGGUGGAAAUAAAUAUUUAACAAAGAAGAUGUUAUUCUUAAAUUGUAAUAUGUACAUUGCCUAAAAAUAAAAAGGUAGUUGAAGAUAUAUUGUGAACAACAAAAAAUGAAGAGCUGAUAAUAUUAAUGUGCGAAGGAAACUCAUAACAUAUUGUACUAAUUAUAAAUCAGUGUAUUGACAAAACCUAAGUCCUCAAUUAUUAUUGACUGUUAUUGACAUAUUAAUGAUAGAAUAUUAAAUAUAGAAUAUAAUAAAGUGAUUUAGAAUAAAAAAGAGAAAGCGAUAGACAUGAAUAGAAACAAAAUGCAACUGUUCAAUAUUAAAAGCCUUUCUAAAUUGCUUGUGUUUUUCUAGUGACCUGUUUCGCUAUGCAGUGUAGGCUCAGGUGUCUAGAUUUUAGUUGCAGAUAAACACAGGUAGUAUUUUCCAGAUCUCAGAAUGACCAGUUACAUAAAAAUAGGCCAUAAACCAUAUAUUUCAUUCUUAUGGUUGACAAACCUCUAAUUCACCUGAAAAUAUUAAAAAGAAAGAAGACAGACGUGACAGUGGUUGGAAGUUGAGGAUAAGAAGAAGUUGGCAGAAAUAAGCUUUCUUCUUUUGGACAGCAAUGCAUGAUAAAAAAAUUAAACUAAAUUCAGUUCAUUUCCACUAACUGGGACUUAUUUAGAAACUUUAAGGAAGUCUUUGAAGAAUUUCAAUUGAGGAGUAAAUAAGGGCCAAUUUAUUUCAUAGUAUGGACUCUCAAGACAAUAUACAGCAGUGCUUCUCAAAGUUAAACAGUAUAUGAGUGACCUGGAAAUGAAGAUGCAGAUUUAACAGGGCUGGAGAGAAGUCUGAGAUUCUAAAUUUCCAAUGAAUUAAAUUACAAAGAGGAGAAAAUAAGGUUAUUGCUUACUUUAUAUACAUUCACAAACACAGGAUAAUCAAAUAAUUGUUUAAAGUAUUGCUCUGAUAAGAAUUAAAUUACAUAUUUCAUAGGAAACAUUUUCUUUACAUUCGGGUUUUAUCUAUUAUUAGAAUAAUAAUAGAAUCUUGACUUUAUGUAACUCUAUAUUCCAAACAACUAGAAACUUUUCGAUAGCAAUUGUUCACCAUUUAAUAACAUUUUUCCAAGAUAUCUAAUGCACUCAAGGACAAAAUAGCUGCCUUCCAGUGAUUUCCAAUUUAUUCAAUUUUCAGGCAAUCUGUCUGCCCACACAAUGACAGAUUGUAGUUACAUUCUUGCCACGCUCCAAACAGCUAAGCCAAUUGUUUUCAAUCUUUUUUCUUCAGCAACUCCAUCUCUUAAAGUACUUCAGAGUAGUUCAUGAAAGGAUUCCUCUUUAGUUAAAUGGCUAUACAGCUCUCCCAUCAUCCAAAAUAAUCAGUGGAGAGAUAGCAAUAUUUUUCAUUACAUUAGGCCAAGUUCCAUUGCUUCCUUCAUGUUGUAAUCUGAUCAGAAACACCACUAUAGAUUCAAUAAUUGAGUUUAGAGUUUCAGAGAAUUUGGGGUCACAGAACAUCUAUGUCUAUUUUGUAAAGAUUAUUGCAUAUUACUGAAAUAGCUUGUCAAACACUGCAGUCUGCUUAAAGUAUCAAAAUAGAAAUGUUGAAUGCUGUGUCUGCACAGAGUUCAUUUAAGCAAAGAAUCUACUAGGCUCUUAAGUCUGUUAAUGCAAAUUCCUGAAUACAAUUGACCCUCCAUAACCCCAUUGUGGGUGGAUUUAACUAACAUGAAUCAAACAUAUUUGUUAAAAGAAAUACCAAAAAUAAUUUUUAAAAAGAAAUACAACAAUAAAACAAUGCAAAUAAAAAACAAUCCUUAUAACAAUUAUGUGCAUAGCAUUUAUAUUGUAUUCAGUAUUAUUAAUGUAGGUAAUCUGGAAAUGAUAUAAAGUAUACAAGAGGGUGUGUGUAAGUUAUAUGCAAAUACUAGGCCAUUUUAUAUAAGAAACUUGAGCAUCUCUGGCUUUUGCUAUGAAGGGAUGAUGGUGGUAGGAUUGGUGGUGGUCCUGGAACAAAUCCCCAGCAGGUACCAAGGGGGACUGUAGACCCCAAAGCUGUUAGGAAUGGGUCACAGCAGCAGGAUUGAGGUAGGAAUGCUCCCCACAGAAAACAUCAACCACCUGUUGAUUUGUGAAUCUGCUCUUCUCAGGCAUGCCUUCAAAUGCUAUAACCUGGAGAUUCAACUCAUUUUCAUGCUGCUAAGUAGGAAUAGGUGAUUCAAUUCCCCAAGAAAGUGACAGAGGUCCCUGAAAUAUAGAUUUAAAGUUACAUAGUGUCAAAUGCUAGUCAUUUUCUCUUUGCUCGAUGGUAUCCUCUCAGAAAAACCUUUCAUAAUAUUUCUAAUUCAUUUACCAGAUUUAUAGAAUCAUCAAAUUAUCUAUCAAUGUGUUUUUCAAAUAUUUUGUGAAGUGCCUAGGGUAACAACCUAUUGUUCGAACAUAUUUUGUGAAGUGGCUAGGGUAACAACAUAAUGUUAGAACUUAUGUUCGUAUUUAAAUACAAAUGUAUUUUGGUUGAGUGAUUACUCAAGGUCACUGAGGAGUCCACAAGGUUAACGUCCUGACUCUAGAACCAUUGUUAUAUAGAGAUAUAUAAAUAGCUGAUUUAAUAUUAUAGGCUUAGCAAAAUAUUUAAUAAAUAAGGUCUUAGUAAAACAACACACAUGUAUUUAUCCACUUAUUUAAUUUUGUUUUUCCAUUUCUUCUGAACAUAAGUUCCUGAGGACACGGGCCUUUUUUCACAGUUCAUUUUUGGAUUCCAACAUCUAGCCAGUACUUUGCAAAGAGCACUGAAUUUGAAAUAAAUUUCUCAGUUAAUGAUUUGAAUCAUAUAAAAUAUUUAGUAAAUUUGAAAACUAGUAACCGUGUAAAGUGAUUAAAACAAACAUACUAGAGGGUAAUAAUCCCCCACCCCUUGCCUUCUUCCUUUACAUCCACUUCAUUCUUAUUCUUGUCUACUUCCCCUGCUCCACCCAGGGAACGUGGUUAGCCCAUCAACUGCAAAGAUUGUUCUCAUAUAAUAUUGUUCUGAUGGAUAAUGAGACUCUGAAAGUGGAACAUAAACAGAUAAAACAAAAACAAACAGAAAAAAACCCAAAAACCUAAACUCAACUUCAGUUAAAGCAGAAAAUAUCUGUCCAGCCUAAACCAGGCAUACUCAACAGACUUCUUCUGUUAGAAGCCUGAUCCUACUUCAGUCUGGAACUACCUAGUCUUCAGGUUUGCCUGGUGCUCACCAGCUGAAGAAAUCCUUUAACGACCUUUAUUCAGUCAAGUAAAUUGUUUUAUUUUGGCAACUUGCAUGUUAUUUUUUAGGUUUUCAUUUAUUUUUUUUUAUAUUUAAAGUCAUAUUUUCUUCCUUUUAUUCACUUUGCUGGUCUUUCUCACUUUGAUUUUUUUUUUUUGCCUUGUUUUGCAUUUGUUUACUUUAACAUUGUUUGUAACUUAUCUCUUUUAUUUUGGAAAUUAUUCACAUUAUCAGUUUUCUUUUGCUAGGCAAUUUUGAUAUUCUAAUAAACAUUAUUAACAUAAAAUAUAAAGUUUAUUAACACCAAGCCCAAACAAUACCAAGUCUUAGGGCUCUUUAAUUGCAAUUAUUUAAAAAUAUUUGCUACAAAUUGUUCAUUAUUUUAUAUUUACAUUGUUUUUCUUAUUCCCACAAAUCACAUAUUGUUGGUGUGUUUGUUAAAUAAAAUUGUGAUUGCUUAUAUAUAUUUUUUCACAUCCUUUCUUCUUCUAAUAUUUUGGAAUUUAC
Molecule: long non-coding RNA, 5814 nt
Filed under: Homo sapiens (human)
Lineage: Eukaryota; Metazoa; Chordata; Mammalia; Primates; Hominidae
Description: HSALNT0085293
Source: RNAcentral